CUCCGUUUGAGGUCGCCGUUUCCCACAAGCCCCCGGGGCAGGGACCUCGCCGGCGCAGUUGUCGGGCUGGGACUGCGCGGGUGCUGCGGUCCCCAUUCCUAAUUCAAAGGCUGCUGUCUAACUCCCAGUGAGAAAUGAGGAAAAACAAAUUGCAAAAGAUGAUUAGAGACUAUACUUUAUAGAGAACUCUGCAUAUUUACCAGGUUUUGCAAAAAAAAAUUUGGUAAGGUACAAUAUAUAAAAUAGUGAGACUUGACGUGCCUUUUAAGAGAAGAAAGAUGCGUGAAGACUGUCCUGCACUUGGUGCAUUCAUAUGGUUUUUCUCCAGCAGAAACUUUCUUGUGCAGGCAGGCCUCGGUUGUCCAAACGAUGCACAUUUCAUAGGACUUUCGGAAAAGCCUUCCACCAGCUACUGCAGAAAAUGGAUUCUGUGACUGUAAAAACCAAUGGCCGGGCGCAGUGGCUCACACCUGUCAUCCCAGCACUUUGGGAGGCCGAGGAGGGCGGAUCACGAGGUCAGGAGGUCGAGAUCAUCCUAGCUAUCUCUACUAAAAAUGCAAAAAAUUAGCCGGGCGUGGUGACGGGUGCCUGUAGUCCCAGCUACUGGGGAGGCGGAGCUUCGAGUGCGCGCUACUGCACUCCAGCCUGGGCGACAGAGCAAGACUCCGUCUCAAAAAAAAAAAAAAAAACCAAAAAAAUAACAACAACAAUGAAAUGUGCACGUUAAAUGGCUGUACGUUCUAUAUGUCAGUAAAGCUGGUUUUUAAAAAACAUAAAGAAUGUGAAGUUCACUGUCUUCCUCAAAAACAUGAUACACAAAAUGAAGACGCCCAUGACCUCACCUCUAGUCAACGUUAUACUAGUUCCAGCACCACCAGGAAAUAUACAAGAA
Molecule: long non-coding RNA, 892 nt
Filed under: Homo sapiens (human)
Lineage: Eukaryota; Metazoa; Chordata; Mammalia; Primates; Hominidae
Description: HSALNT0395648
Source: RNAcentral